Molecule: ribosomal RNA, 828 nt
Filed under: uncultured bacterium
Lineage: Bacteria
Description: bacterial SSU rRNA
Rfam family: Bacterial small subunit ribosomal RNA
Source: RNAcentral
GUCGAGCGAUGAAAUCUUGACAGAUCCUUUCGGGGUGAAGAUAAGAUGGAUCAUUGGCGGACGGGUGAGUAACACGUGAGUAACCUGCCUUAGACAUUGGGAUAGCCUCGGGAAACCGGGAUUAAUACCAAAUGAAAUCAUAGGUGCCCAUGCACUAAUGAUCAAAACUCCGGUGGUCUAAGAUGGACUCGCGUCCCAUUAGCUAGUUGGUGAGGUAACGGCCCACCAAGGCGACGAUGGGUAGCCGGCCUGAGAGGGUGAACGGCCACAUUGGAACUGAGAAACGGUCCAAACUCCUACGGGAGGCAGCAGUGGGGAAUAUUGCACAAUGGAGGGAACUCUGAUGCAGCGACGCCGCGUGAACGAUGAAGGCUUUCGAGUCGUAAAGUUCUUUUAUAUGGGAAGAUAAUGACGGUACCAUAAGAAAAAGCCCCGGCUAACUACGUGCCAGCAGCCGCGGUAAUACGUAGGGGGCUAGCGUUGUCCGGAAUCACUGGGCGUAAAGGGUUCGCAGGCGGAAAUGCAAGUCAGAUGUAAAAGGCAGUAGCUUAACUACUGUAAGCAUUUGAAACUGCAUAUCUUGAGAAGAGUAGAGGUAAGUGGAAUUUUUAGUGUAGCGGUGAAAUGCGUAGAUAUUAAAAAGAAUACCGGUGGCGAAGGCGACUUACUGGGCUCAUUCUGACGCUGAGGAACGAAAGCGUGGGUAGCAAACAGGAUUAGAUACCCUGGUAGUCCACGCUGUAAACGAUGAGUGCUAGGUAUCGGAAUAAUUCGGUGCCGCAGUUAACACAUUAAGCACUCCGCCUGGGGAGUACGUGCGCAAGCAUG